CUUUUUUAGUAUAACUAUAUUUUUCAGUUGUUAUAAAUACAAUGAUACAAAUUUUUACAUGUAAUAUAGAAUCAUUCAGCAGUCUAAAAAUCUUGACUUAUUUAAAAUUAAACUUUAAAUUUUGGGAUCAUUGUAGAACCACAUGCAGUUGUGAGAAAUAAUACAGAUUCCAUGUACCAGUCACCCAAUUCCCUCAGUCGUAGCAUAUUACAAAACUAUAGUACAAUAUCAGAACCAGGAUAUUGGCAUUGAUUACAAUCAAGAUGCAGAAAAAUUUCAUCACUACAAUGAACUCUACUGUUGACCUUUUAUAGCCACAUCUUACUCCCUCCCUGCUUUCCUCUCUUCUUGGCCCCUGGCAACCACUCAUCUGUCUUUAUUUCUAUCAUUUUGCCAUUUGAAGAAUGUCAUAUAAAUGAAGUCAUACAGUAUGUAACCUUUUGGUACUGCCAUUUUUUUACUCACGUAAUUCCUUUAAGAUUCAUCCAAGUUGCCUGUGUGUAUCAUUAUUUCUUUUUAUUGUUGAGUAAUAUAGUCCAUAGCAUGGAUAUACUACAAUUUGUUUAACAAUAUACCUGAUGAAGAACAUCUGGGUGGGUUCCAGUUUUCGGUGAUUAUGAAUAAAACUGUUAAAAACAUUCAGGUACAGGUUUUUAUGCAAACAUAAGAUUUAAUUUCUCUUGGACAAAUGCCCAGGAGUACAAUUGUUUGGUCAUAUGGCAGGUGCACAUUUCAUUUUUAAGAAACUGCCAGACUGUGUUUCCAGAGUGGCUGUACCAUUUUAUAUUCCCAUCAGCAAUCAGUGAAUAAUCUGGUUCUCCACAUUUGGUGUUGUCACUUUUUAAAAAUUUCUAACCAUUCCAAUAGGAUAUAGCGAUAUCUCACUGUGACUUUAAUUUAUAUUCCCCUAUUGAGAAAUGAUGUUGAACGUCUUUUCACGUGCUUACCUGCCAUGUGUAUAUCUUCUUUGUUGAGAUGCCUCAUGUUUUUUGCUCAUUUUCUAAUUGGAUGGUUUGAUGUUUUUACUGUCGAGUUUCAAAUAUUCCUUAUAUAUUCUAAAUACUAGUCAUCUGUCAGAUAUGAGGUGUGCAAAUAUUUUCUUCCACUUUGUAGCUUGUCUUUUCAUCUUCUCAGAGUCUUUCACAGAGCAAAAGAUUUUAAAUUUUGAUCAAUUUUUUCCUUUUAUGGAUUGUGCUUUUGGUGUAAAGUUUAAGAAGAAUGAUUUACCUAGCCCCAGAUCCUUAAGAUUUUCUUUUUUCUGUAAAAGUUUUAUAUUUUUAAGUUUGUGAUUCAUUUUGAGUUAAUUUUUGUAUAAGAUGUGAGACUUAGAUCAAGGUUUUGUUUUGUUUUGUUUUGUUUUUUUGUCUAUAGAUGUCCAAUUACUCCAGCAGUAUUUGUUGAAAAGCCUAUCUUUCAACCAUUAAAUUGUUUUCAUGUCUUGGUGGAAAAAAAAAAUCGGCUGAGCAUAUUUCUGUGGGAUGACUUCUAGGUUCUCUGCUCUGUUCCACUGAUCUAUGUGUCUGUACCUCUGCCAUAGUCUUGAUUACUGUAGCUAUGCAGCAUGUCUUGAAGUCAUUUAGACUGAUUCUUCCCACUUUAUUCUUCAAAAUUGUUUCAGCUACUUCAGUUCCUUUGCCUUUCCAUAUAAGUUUUAAAUCUGUAUCUACAAAAAAUCUUUCUGGGAUUUUGAUAGGAAUUGUGCUAAAUGUGUAUAUCAAUUAGGGGAGAAGUGACAUCUUCCCUAUAUUGAAUCAUCCAAAUACAUGAACAACACUGUGUGUCUCCAUUAAUUUAGAUCUUCUUUGAUUUCUUUAAUCAAUAUUUGAUAGUUUUCAGCUUAUGAGUCCUGUUCAUGUCUUAUUAGAUUUAUACUUGCUAUGGUUGGAAUACAUCCCCAAAAUUUCAUAAGAAAAUAUUUGCAAAUCACAUCUCUGGCAAGGUAUUAAUACCCAGAACAUAUUAAAAAACUCCUACGUCUCAACAGCAACAACAAAAACCACAAACAUCACAAAUAACAACUGUUGGCAAGAACAUCAAGAAAUCAGAACCUCUGUGUACUGUUGGAGGGAAUGUAAAAUGGUACAGCCACUGUAGGGGUUUGAACAUGUCCCCUAAAUUUCAUGUAUUGGAAACUGAAUCCCCAGAUUCAUGUUGCCUGAAGGUAAGGCCUUUGGAACGUAAUUGGGAUUAGAUAUGGUCAUCAGGGUAGGGCUUCCAUGAUGGGACUGGUGACUUUAUAGGAAGACGGAUCUGAGCUAGCAGGUUUGCUCUAUCUUGCCAUGUGAUGUCUCCUGCCAUGUCAUGAUGCAGCAGGAAGGCCCUGACCAGAUGCUCACCCCUCAAACUUGGACUUCCCAGCCUCUAGAACUGAAAGUAAAAAAUUUAUUUUCUUUAUAAAUUACCCAGUCUGUGGCAUUCUGUCACAGCAGCAGCAAACGGACUAAGACAAUACCUAAGUAUUUCAUUGUUACAAUACUAAUGUCAAUGGCACUGUGUUUUUAAUUUUGGUCCCCACGUGUUGCUAGUACAUAGAAAUGCAACUCACUUUUGUAUAUUAAUCUUAUAUCUAUAUUGUCUUGUAUCCUGUGACCUCACUAAACUCACUUAUUAGAUUUAGGAGGUUUUUUUGCUUACUGUGUUCUUUCUUCCUUCCUGGGGUCUCAGGAUUCCUCCUUUUAUUGCUUCCUUUCUGUUCAGAGAACUUUCUUUAGCCAUUCUUUUAGGAUAGGUAUGCUAGUGACAACUUCUCUUCCAGUUUUCCUUCAUCUGAAAAUGUCUUGAUUUCCUCUUCAUUCCUGUAGCAUAUUUUUACAUGGUUGAUUUUUUUCUUUCAGCACUUGGAAAAUGUUGUGCCACUUCCUUCUGACCUUCAUGGUUUCUGAUGAGAAAUCCACUGUCAUUAGAAUUAAUUUUCCUUAUAGGUAAAGUGUUAUUUCUCUUCCUACUUUCAAUAUUUUUUUCUUUGUUUUCAGUUUUCAGAAAUUUGACUAUAAUGUGUCUUUGUGUGAAUUUGAAGGGAUUUCUCUCAUUUGGGAUUCACUCAGCUUCUUGAAUCUGUAGGCUUAUGUGUUUUGCCAAAUUUGGGGAGCUUCCAGCCAUUACUUCUUCAGGUGCUUUUUCAGCCCCAUCCCCUCUCUCUCCUUUGGGACUUUGACGACAUCAGUGUUAGAUCUUUUGUUAUACUCCCACAAUUCCCUGAGGCUCUGUUCAUUUAUCUCUGUUAUUCAAAUUGGGUCAUUCCUAUUGUUCAAUUUUCAAGUUCACAGAUUCUUUUUGUCUGUCCUCUCUAUUAUGGUGUUGAACCUAUCCUUUGAGUUUAUUUCAUUUAUUGUAUUUUCUAGUUUUAAAAUUUCCAUCUGGUUCUUCUUUGUCUCUUACAUUUCUUUGUGGAAACUUCUCUAUUUUUUUUUUCAUUGUUUGUUUCAAGCAUACCUGCAAUUGCUUAUUGAAGCAAUUUUAUGAGGACUUCUUUAAAAUCUAACAUCUCUAUCAUCUCAGUUUUGACAUCUGUUGAUUUGAUUCUCUUUUUUCAUUCAGUUUGAGAUCUUCCUCAUUCUUAGUAUAACAAGUGAUUUUUCAUUAAAAUCUGCACAUUUGGGGCAUUAUGUUUUAAGACCCUGGAUCUUAUUCAAACCCUUUGUUUAAGCUGGCUUUCUCUGACACUGCUCCAACAGAAGAGGAGCACUACUUCAUUACUUCUAGGUAGGGGUAGGAGUCCAGGUUCCGUACUCAGCCUCCACUGACACUGCAGAGUGGAGGGCUCCUCGUUACUGCUGAGCAAGGGUGAGAGUUCUAGCUCCCAGCUAGGCUUCCACAGAAACCUCCCUGGCUGAGAGAAAAAGGGGUGCCUCAUUGUUGCCCUUGAUACGGCCUCUACUGACACCACAGUAGAAGGGGCAACCUGCCUACCAAUAGAUGACAGUGAAAGUCAUGACUCUUCACUCAGUCUCCCCUGACACCACCACCACUGCAGGGAGUUGGUAUGCCUCAUUAUAGCCUGGCAAGGGUGGAAACCAGGCUCUCCCAACUGGCUUUGUUGGUGGGGUGGGUGUGGGGUCAUAAUUUUUUUCUGUGGUGUUUGGCUGGAGUAGAGUAGUUAGUGUGUUUUCUUUUUGCUAGGUGCCCCUUUCCUGGUCCUCUGGCUAGACAGAGUAGGCUUUUCUUAUCUGCGCCUGUUGGCAUUUCUGACUCACUGGUUUCUUCAGCAAUGAGUCUGGGACAUACGUGGCAAAAACAAACCCAGGAAACUCACAACCAUGUCAUUCCUUGGGUCUUGAGGUCCCUAGCUAGUCUGCCUUUUCUACCUUUCAGAGUAUUCUUAUGUUUAUUUUGCAGAUAAUGUCCAAGGUUUUUAGUUGUACUUAGUACAAAGAAUAAGAGAAAAUACAUUUGCUCCAUUUUUUCCAGAAACAGAAGUCUAAAUCUUAACAUUUUUAAGAAAUAAUUAUUUCCCACAAAAACCAUGAUAGGAUAGCACUCUUCUAUCUAUUACAGUGGUUACAAAACUGGAGGCCUAUGGUUUUUAAAAAAAUUUAAUUGCUGUUAGGUGGGCAUUCUGUACUCUCCAGUUCUCUACAGCACUCUUCCAUGUCUGCCUAGAUUUGUGAACUGUUCCAUGAAGGCAUCUGAGUUUGCAAGCUCUGAUUUAUAAGUCACAAGGCCAGGCUAUAGAUUACAGAAGUAGAUUUUGAAGGUUCAUGCUAAAGCUUCCCUUUUCAUAGACUAGGGCCCAAUUUAAGAAAUGUUAACCAAGACCCAGCUCAAGCAUAAUGAAGUCUUUCCUAUACUCUGCCUUCGACUUCCCUCCAAAUGUAAUUACUGUACUAUCCCAUCCAAUGAUUAAACUUAGUAUAAGGCCAUCUCCAUUUUCUCAUUUUUCUUCAGAAUGUUUAGAGAAGAGAUAUAGCUACUGUGUGUGUGUGGGUGAGGGAAGGAGAACAGAGAAGAGCUGAUGAUAAUGAUGAAGCAAGAGGAAGGAAGAUGAUCACAUUAAAACUAUAGUGUCCUAAUUUUCAUAAAGCUGGCCCAGAUCAAAUUCUUUUGAACACAAUUGAAUAAUGUUCUAGCAAGAAAGGCAUUUAGAGGUGAAUAAUCUAAUCCAAGCCCCUUUAUCCUUCCAGAAAAGGAAACUGAGCCUCAGAGACUAUACAAGGUCACAAGCUAACCAAUAUUGUUUGUACUACUCCAUCAUGUUCUCUUUUCAUAACCUAGUCCUACUUUCCAAACAAUGGAAGCUGUGAUCAAUGAUGUCACUUCUACUAAUAGUUCCUAAAAAUGUUUCCAUUUGUAACUGUAUUAUUUCAUCUAAUCUACAGAAGAUUACAUUCAAAUUUUGUUCUUAAAAUUUCUGGCAAAUUCAAG
Molecule: long non-coding RNA, 5361 nt
Filed under: Homo sapiens (human)
Lineage: Eukaryota; Metazoa; Chordata; Mammalia; Primates; Hominidae
Description: HSALNT0287356
Source: RNAcentral